Molecule: ribosomal RNA, 321 nt
Filed under: uncultured eukaryote
Lineage: Eukaryota
Description: partial 18S ribosomal RNA
Rfam family: Eukaryotic small subunit ribosomal RNA
Source: RNAcentral
CCCUUAGAUGUCCUGGGCCGCACGCGCGCUACACUGACAUGUUCAACAAGCCUCCUAGUUCGACAGGAUUUGGGAAAUCUUUGAACGCAUGUCGUGAUAGGGAUAGAUCAUUGCAAUUAUUGAUCUUGAACGAGGAAUUCCUAGUAAACGCGAGUCAUCAGCUCGCAUUGAUUACGUCCCUGCCCUUUGUACACACCGCCCGUUGCACCUACCGAUUGAAUGUUUCGGUGAAGAUUCCGGAUAGGACUUUUUUGAUUUAUUUCAAUUUUGUCUUAAAAGCUAUCUAAACCUCAACAUUUAGAGGAAGGUGAAGUUGUAACA